AACGAACGCUGGCGGCAUGCCUAAUACAUGCAAGUCGAACGCCUGUAGCAAUACAGGAGUGGCGCACGGGUGAGUAACGCGUGGGAACCGCCCUUGAGUGGGGGAUAACCCGGCGAAAGCCGGGCUAAUACCGCAUACGCCCUUGGGGAAACCCUUGGGGAAAGAUUUAUCGCUCUUGGAGGGGCCCGCGUCGGAUUAGCUAGUUGGUAGGGUAACGGCCUACCAAGGCGAUGAUCCGUAGCUGGUCUGAGAGGAUGAUCAGCCACACUGGGACUGAGACACGGCCCAGACUCCUACGGGAGGCAGCAGUAGGGAAUAUUGGACAAUGGGGGAAACCCUGAUCCAGCAAUGCCGCGUGGGUGAUGAAGGCCUUGGUUG
This 378-nucleotide ribosomal RNA is filed under the name uncultured bacterium. Its description in RNAcentral is "bacterial SSU rRNA". It matches the Rfam family "Bacterial small subunit ribosomal RNA", at positions 29 to 425 of the family's 1533-position model. The record is from RNAcentral.